This 450-nucleotide ribosomal RNA is filed under the name uncultured bacterium. RNAcentral's name for it is "partial 16S ribosomal RNA". It matches the Rfam family "Bacterial small subunit ribosomal RNA", at positions 354 to 796 of the family's 1533-position model. The record is from RNAcentral.
GUGGGGAAUCUUCCGCAAUGGACGAAAGUCUGACGGAGCAACGCCGCGUGAGUGAUGAAGGUCUUCGGAUUGUAAAGCUCUGUUAAUCGGGACGAAAGAGCCUAGUGUGAAUAAUGCUAGGAAGUGACGGUACCGGAAUAGAAAGCCACGGCUAACUACGUGCCAGCAGCCGCGGUAAUACGUAGGUGGCAAGCGUUGUCCGGAAUUAUUGGGCGUAAAGCGCGCGCAGGCGGAUCUGCCAGUCUGUCUUAAAAGUUCGGGGCUUAACCCCGUGAUGGGAUGGAAACUGCAGAUCUAGAGUAUCGGAGAGGAAAGUGGAAUUCCUAGUGUAGCGGUGAAAUGCGUAGAUAUUAGGAAGAACACCAGUGGCGAAGGCGACUUUCUGGACGAAAACUGACGCUGAGGCGCGAAAGCCAGGGGAGCGAACGGGAUUAGAUACCCGUGUAGUCC